This 253-nucleotide ribosomal RNA is filed under the name uncultured bacterium. RNAcentral describes it as "partial 16S ribosomal RNA". It matches the Rfam family "Bacterial small subunit ribosomal RNA", at positions 524 to 776 of the family's 1533-position model. The record is from RNAcentral.
UACGUAGGGUGCAAGCGUUAAUCGGAAUUACUGGGCGUAAAGCGUGCGCAGGCUGUUUUGUAAGUCAGAUGUGAAAUCCCCGAGCUCAACUUGGGAACUGCGUUUGAAACUACAAGACUAGAAUAGGUCAGAGGGGGGUAGAAUUCCACGUGUAGCAGUGAAAUGCGUAGAGAUGUGGAGGAAUACCAAUGGCGAAGGCAGCCCCCUGGGAUCAUAUUGACGCUCAUGCACGAAAGCGUGGGGAGCGAACAGG